CUACAUAUAACAUACAGUGAAAGAUUUAAAGAAAAAAAAUCUAUGCCUCUAUGAAUUCAAAGGGUUUAAAAAUUAUCUAACAAAGUACAUGAUAGUGUGACUAUAGUUCUGUGCAAAUAAUAUGAACCCAAUGUGAAGGUCACAGGUUUUGUGGAGGGAGAUCUAUCAAAACCAUAAAGUAUCAUGAGCCUGAGACUCACACUAUUUGCAGAGGACUAAAAAACUUCUAAUUAUUAUGUUUUUAUUUAUCAUUUUAUGGUCAUUAAUAGUCUUUAUAUUUUCAAUUUUGUUAUUAAAUAAUUUGGUUUGAGGACAGUAGUCAGAGAUGUGGUAUGGGCAGUGAUGCUAAUCUUAAUUCUCAUCCAUCUGGAUGUGAGCAGUUUUAUGUCCACAAGGUUUUCAUCAUGUGUACAGGAGCUAGAUAGCGAUGGAGGCCUCUCCUCCACUAUAUGUCACCUGGUAUGAACUAUUCAGUUGAGGAUACUUUGGCAAGGCUAUGAGAAACCUGUGAGAAAUGUGUUUAGUGCCUAUAAAUGAUCUUCCAGAAAAGGCAGAGUGAAUUUAUAUGUUGAAUGUUAAUUUACUAAUUCCAGGUCUCUGCUGAAAGCAAAACGCCCAAAACUCAAACCCACAGCAGCUUCCAAUCUAAGGGGUAAAAACAUUUUUACUUAUUUUGGACAAGAUCUAAACAGGUGAAGGAAUCUCCUCAGGUAUCUGAAUCUCCAGGUGUCUGUGGUCACAUAUCCUACACACAAUUUCCUUGUCACUGGGUAUCUAGACAGGUGUAGUGCUACUCCCUACCCCUACCUCCUGGGAUCUUUGAUUUCUUAGUCCCAUUCCCUUCUUCAUUGGUUAGUUGGGUCAGUGAGCAGCAAGUCCCAAAGAAUGACACAUUAGUAGGAGAGUUAAAUUAUCAAUUAUUUCUAGAAUAAAGGACAAUCUAGAUUCAAGUCUAGGUUCGACCUUUUAAAAAAGCUUCUAAAAAUAGGUCUGGAAAGGUUCUAUUGUUUCUCCUGUAACUUAGUUGGAUUCACAACAUGGGGUUGAAUCCUCUCACAUUUACCACACUGCAGCCUGGAUGACUGCAGACAAUUACUUAAUCUUUCUGAUGCUCAAUUUGCUUAUCAAUAAGAUGGGAAUGAUAAUACUGUGACUGAUGUGAAAUUUAUAGAAUUAAUGCAUGUUAAACUUAGACCUGUGUCUGGUAUAGUAAGCACUCAAUAAGUGCUGGUUGUACUCGGUGUUACCAUUAUCUCAUUGAGUGUCCCUCCUCUCAACCUGAGCCUAUUUUAAGAUAAAGUGAGAAGGAUUUACUUCAGUCAUAGGAUAAGAGGCAGCUUGCCAGUAGGAAGUUGACUGAUCAUAGAUCUUAUCCUGAGAGUGGAAGGAAGAAGAAGAGCUACUACAUUGUUUUGGGUAACAGGACUUGCCAUCUGUGUCUGAGAACCAAGCUCCUUGUCUUUAGAUAUGUAAUCAGGAGUUGCAAAACAGUAAUUAAAAAUAGAAUUUUAUAGAUACAAUAUAUUUUAAAUAGCUUAUUCUUAUAACACCCUACUUUUAUUUCUAUUUUUUACUAUUUUGUUCUUCCUGCAUUUGACUGAUCAAUGAACAAAAAUAACAAAAUGAAUAUAUAAUUCUAUCUAAUUAAUAUGUGUUUAUUAUUUAAAACAUUGAAACAAAUAGUUUAUCCAGGCUGUUUAUUAUGUUUUCCUGUGUCUGGCUUAUAAGUAUUGUAUCUUUCNUUCAAGUCUAGGUUCGACCUUUUAAAAAAGCUUCUAAAAAUAGGUCUGGAAAGGUUCUAUUGUUUCUCCUGUAACUUAGUUGGAUUCACAACAUGGGGUUGAAUCCUCUCACAUUUACCACACUGCAGCCUGGAUGACUGCAGACAAUUACUUAAUCUUUCUGAUGCUCAAUUUGCUUAUCAAUAAGAUGGGAAUGAUAAUACUGUGAUUGAUGUGAAAUUUAUAGAAUUAAUGCAUGUUAAACUUAGACCUGUGUCUGGUAUAGUAAGCACUCAAUAAGUGCUGGUUGUACUCGGUGUUACCAUUAUCUCAUUGAGUGUCCCUCCUCUCAACCUGAGCCUAUUUUAAGAUAAAGUGAGAAGGAUUUACUUCAGUCAUAGGAUAAGAGGCAGCUUGCCAGUAGGAAGUUGACCGAUCAUAGAUCUUAUCCUGAGAGUGGAAGGAAGAAGAAGAGCUACUACAUUGUUUUGGGUAACAGGACUUGCCAUCUGUGUCUGAGAACCAAGCUCCUUGUCUUUAGAUAUGUAAUCAGGAGUUGCAAAACAGUAAUUAAAAAUAGAAUUUUAUAGAUACAAUAUAUUUUAAAUAGCUUAUUCUUAUAACACCCUACUUUUAUUUCUAUUUUUUACUAUUUUGUUCUUCCUGCAUUUGACUGAUCAAUGAACAAAAAUAACAAAAUGAAUAUAUAAUUCUAUCUAAUUAAUAUGUGUUUAUUAUUUAAAACAUUGAAACAAAUAGUUUAUCCAGGCUGUUUAUUAUGUUUUCCUGUGUCUGGCUUAUAAGUAUUGUAUCUUUCUCACUUCUGUUACGUUUACAGUCAUUUGAGGUAAGUUUGUCCAAGGUAAAUAUUUAAAAAUUGGGAUAUAAUCUACUAUGGAAACAAUGAAUUUCAUACUGCUAACCUUUGAAUGUGUCCUCUGAAGUUCAUUCAUUAGAAACUUAAUUUCCAAUGCAACAGUGUUGAGAAGUAUGCCUAAUAAGGAAUGAGUAGGGCUUGAAUGGAUUAAUAGUGUUUUUGAGGAAGUGGGUUAGCUAUAAAGAUAGAGGGUUAUUUUAUUUUUUAAUUUUAAUUUUUUGUUUUUU
RNAcentral lists this long non-coding RNA (2825 nucleotides) under Marmota monax (woodchuck). The record is from RNAcentral. Lineage: Eukaryota; Metazoa; Chordata; Mammalia; Rodentia; Sciuridae.